This 30-nucleotide non-coding RNA is filed under the name Rattus norvegicus (Norway rat). Lineage: Eukaryota; Metazoa; Chordata; Mammalia; Rodentia; Muridae. The record is from RNAcentral.
UGGCAGUCAGGAAAUACAGGCUGGUGCAGU